AGAUUGAACGCUGGCGGCAGGCCUAACACAUGCAAGUCGAGCGGUAGAGAGGUGCUUGCAUCUCUUGAGAGCGGCGGACGGGUGAGUAAUGCCUAGGAAUCUGCCUAGUGGUGGGGGAUAACGUUCGGAAACGGACGCUAAUACCGCAUACGUCCUACGGGGAAGAACGGGCCGGGGUACCGUCCGGCCGU
Molecule: ribosomal RNA, 191 nt
Filed under: uncultured soil bacterium
Lineage: Bacteria
Description: partial 16S ribosomal RNA
Rfam family: Bacterial small subunit ribosomal RNA
Source: RNAcentral